This 620-nucleotide ribosomal RNA is filed under the name Escherichia coli. Its description in RNAcentral is "partial 23S ribosomal RNA". It matches the Rfam family "Bacterial large subunit ribosomal RNA", at positions 617 to 1238 of the family's 2925-position model. Lineage: Bacteria; Pseudomonadati; Pseudomonadota; Gammaproteobacteria; Enterobacterales; Enterobacteriaceae. The record is from RNAcentral.
GGGUCAGCGACUUAUAUUCUGUAGCAAGGUUAACCGAAUAGGGGAGCCGAAGGGAAACCGAGUCUUAACUGGGCGUUAAGUUGCAGGGUAUAGACCCGAAACCCGGUGAUCUAGCCAUGGGCAGGUUGAAGGUUGGGUAACACUAACUGGAGGACCGAACCGACUAAUGUUGAAAAAUUAGCGGAUGACUUGUGGCUGGGGGUGAAAGGCCAAUCAAACCGGGAGAUAGCUGGUUCUCCCCGAAAGCUAUUUAGGUAGCGCCUCGUGAAUUCAUCUCCGGGGGUAGAGCACUGUUUCGGCAAGGGGGUCAUCCCGACUUACCAACCCGAUGCAAACUGCGAAUACCGGAGAAUGUUAUCACGGGAGACACACGGCGGGUGCUAACGUCCGUCGUGAAGAGGGAAACAACCCAGACCGCCAGCUAAGGUCCCAAAGUCAUGGUUAAGUGGGAAACGAUGUGGGAAGGCCCAGACAGCCAGGAUGUUGGCUUAGAAGCAGCCAUCAUUUAAAGAAAGCGUAAUAGCUCACUGGUCGAGUCGGCCUGCGCGGAAGAUGUAACGGGGCUAAACCAUGCACCGAAGCUGCGGCAGCGACACUAUGUGUUGUUGGGUAGGGGAGCG